Molecule: ribosomal RNA, 301 nt
Filed under: uncultured bacterium
Lineage: Bacteria
Description: partial 16S ribosomal RNA
Rfam family: Bacterial small subunit ribosomal RNA
Source: RNAcentral
CAGCCGCCGCGGUAAGACAGAGGAUGCGAGCGUUAUCCGGAAUGAUUGGGCGUAAAGGGCUCGCAGGCGGUUUCUUAAGUCUGAUGUGAAAGCCCCCGGCUCAACCGGGGAGGGUCAUUGGAAACUGGGAAACUUGAGUGCAGAAGAGGAGAGUGGAAUUCCACGUGUAGCGGUGAAAUGCGUAGAGAUGUGGAGGAACACCAGUGGCGAAGGCGACUCUCUGGUCUGUAACUGACGCUGAGGAGCGAAAGCGUGGGGAGCGAACAGGAUUAGAUACCCCAGUAGUCCCUGUCUCUUAUAC